Molecule: ribosomal RNA, 460 nt
Filed under: uncultured bacterium
Lineage: Bacteria
Description: partial 16S ribosomal RNA
Rfam family: Bacterial small subunit ribosomal RNA
Source: RNAcentral
CCUACGGGUGGCAGCAGUGAGGAAUAUUGGUCAAUGGCCGGAAGGCUGAACCAGCCAUGCCGCGUGAAGGUCAGUGCCCUAUGGGCGUUAAACUUCUUUUGUGCGGGAGCAAUAAUGGUCACGUGUGGCCAGACGAGAGUACCGUACGAAUAAGCAUCGGCUAACUCCGUGCCAGCAGCCGCGGUAAUACGGGGGGUGCAAGCGUUAUCCGGAUUUAUUGGGUUUAAAGGGUGCGUAGGCUGUGAGGUAAGUCAGCGGUGAAAUGCCCCCGCUCAACGGGGUGAAGUGCCAUUGAUACUGCCUGGCUGGAAUGCGGAUGACGUGGGAGGAAUGUGUGGUGUAGCGGUGAAAUGCAUAGAUAUCACACAGAACACCGAUUGCGAAGGCAUCUCACGAAUCCGCGAUUGACGCUGAUGCACGAAAGCGUGGGUAUCAAACAGGAUUAGAUACCCUAGUAGUC